Eriocheir sinensis (Chinese mitten crab) is the source of this 4284-nucleotide long non-coding RNA. RefSeq lists it as uncharacterized. The transcript is spliced from 3 exons. The record is from RefSeq and is a predicted model, not a curated record. NCBI's taxonomy places the organism in Eukaryota, Metazoa, Arthropoda, Malacostraca, Decapoda, Varunidae.
ACAUGGCGGAUUACAGAGGGAGGAAAGGCAUCACCUCCGAACAUAUCGGCCUCGUCAAGACGAAUUGGAGGCGUGUAAUGAUUUGAAACUCAUCCUGAAAUAUCUGUGGACUGUGCUGACCGUGCUGAGAUGAGUGGUUCGGCGAGGCGGACCUUGGAAACACCUACAUGGCCAUCACGACUGAAGUGGUGUUCGCCGACAGGUAAAAUGCAGGUGCAACCUUCACAGACUGACAGAGAUUGAGUGAUAACAGACACUGGAGACCCUCCAAGCGAUGGCUGGUGACCGCCUGCCACCAUCCACAGGCUGUCACACAAGGAGCCCUGGGAGUAACCUUGCUGGAAGCCCCGCGGGCUGCAGUGUGUGGCUGGCGUUAUACAGCCCCCAGCCAUCGCCUGGAGGGCAUCCAGUGUCUGUUAUCACUCACCUUAGGUAGUCUGUGAAGGUCCAGUCAUCACUGGUGCACGUGUAUCUUACCUGUGAUCAACACCGGCAGCCACAGACUCCUGCCCAAGGAACGAACACAGUGAUCGUGAUGACAUUGACAACAACGAGCAAGUCCUCCUAGACCUAGAGUGACCUCAAGCUGGGCCAAACAUGAUGUGGAAGAAGAAAUCAGUUGUCUCCAUCAGUCGGAUUUGUGCCAUGGCAGCUUUCUCCAGCUGUCUGGCAGAGGUCCAGUCCAUGCCAUGGAGAAAUUCAGCCCCCAACAAGGAGAUGGCAUGCCAGAGAUGGAUCCGCAGCUUCUCCUCCAAUCAAUCAAUCCUUGCAAUGCCCUUUCUCUUUUCUCUCCUUCUGUACCACCAUGCUUACACAUAACUGAUCCAAGGUACUUAAACUCGUUAACCUCCUCCAUUUCUUCACCAUUCAAAAUUAUUUGGCAUUCUUUUUCACAUUCAAUGCCCACUCUAUAUGGGCAUACAAACUCUACAACCUCCCUUCUACUCCGCUCACAAACCAUCACUUUACUUUUGUUGACAUUUACUUUCAACUUUCUCCUUUUACAGACACUAUCAAAAACACUGACCAAAUUUUGUAAGUCACUUUCAUUUUCUGCAAUGAGCACCGUGUCAUCAGCAAAUAAGAUUGAAUUCAUCACCCACUUCCUUCCCUCCCUCAGCAUACAUUUUUACUUCAAUUUCCCCAACUUUGCCCUUCAUUUCUCAUAACACCAUCCAUAUAAAUAUUGAACAACCACGAUGACAUGACACACCCCUGCCUUAGCCCACUUUCAUCUCAAAAUGUUCACUUGUUUCUCCAGUAAUUUUGACACAUGCAGAUGCAUCCUCAUAGAAAGACUUUAUUGCAUAAAGCAGUUUUCCUCCCACACCAUAUAUCUUUAAGACGUCCCACAAUGCCAGCCAAUCGACUCUGUCAUAAACUUUCUUUAGAAUAACUAGAUCCAUGAAGGCAGCAUAGUAUUUUUUCCUUUUGCUAAUAUUUUUUCUAAUAAAACACCAUCCUGAAGGAAAAUAUCUGAUCCACACAUCCUCUUCCCUUCCUGAAGUCUCCUUGUUCUUCACUGAUUUUCUCUUCUGUAAGUCUUUGCGCAGUCUCAAUUAGGACUUUUCCAUAUACCUUUCCAGGUAGCCUACACUCAGCAGACUUAUACCCCUACAACUCCCACCUCCCCUCUCCUGCCCUUCCCCUUGUAAACUGGGACCAUGAUGGCUUUUGUCAAGUCUGCUGGGACCUCCCCCCCCCUUCCCAGGCCACUUCACAUAUCUUGACCAUUCAUAUAGUAACUUCAUCUCCACACUUCAACAUUUCUGCUGUGAUUCCUCUCAAUUCAUUCAUCAUCAUCAUCUCAUCGACGCCUGCUCUUAGGAGCUCCCACCAGGGGAUGGCCACGGCAGAAGUUUCCAUCUUUCUCUAUCCGGACACUCCCUCCUUGCCUGCUCAAAGUUUCUCAAGGAUCUCUCAUCCUUCUCCCUAAUGUACUCCUGCACCCUAUCUCUCCAUUUCACUGGAGGUCGUCCUCUAACAUUCCCUCCCUCAAUCUCACAUACACCCUUCUGGUCAUCUUACUCUCCUCCAUUCGCUCCAUGUGGCCAAACCACUUUAAAGUCACUUAUUCCCUUCACCCCCGUGACACAUUCCAAAACGCUCAUACACACUUUCAUUACUUAUUCCAUCCAUUCUACUCACACCACAAGCACUCCUCAACUAACUCAUUUCCACUACCUGUACUCUAGACCUCUGACUUUCAUUCAAGGCCCAUGUUUCACUUGCAUAUGUGAGGGUUGGUACUAUUAUUGUAUUUUCAACUGAUAACUGAUCCAAGGUACUUAAACUCAUUGACCUCCUCUAUUUCUUCACCAUUCAGAAUUAUUUUGCAUUCUUUUUCACACUCAGUUCCCACUCUAUAUGGGCAUACAAAAUCUACAACCUCACUUCUACUCCCCUCACAAACCAUCACUUUACUUUUGUUGACAUUUACUUUCAGCUUUCUCCUUUUACAGACGCUAUGAAAAUCACUGACCAAGUUUUGUAAGUCACUUUCAUUUUCUGCAAUGAGCACUGUGUCAUCAGUAAACAGGAUUGAAUUCAGCACCCACUGCCUUCCCUCAGCAUACAUUUUUACUCCAACUUUGCCCUUUAUUUCUCCCAUGACACCAUCCAUAUAAAUAUUGAACAACCAUGGUGACAUGACACGCCCCUGCCUUAAUCCCACCUUUAUCUCAAAAUGUUCACUUGUUUCUCCACCAAUUUUGACACAUGCAGAUGCAUCCUCAUAGAAAGACUUUAUUGCACUAAGCAGUUUUCCUCCCACACCAUAAAUCUUUAAAACAUCCCACAAUGCAAUCCAAUCGACUCUGUCAUAAGCUUUUUCUAAGUCCAUGAAGGCAGCGUAUAGUUUCUUUCCUUUUGCUAUUAUUUUUUUUACUACCAUCCUGAAGGAAAAUAUCUGAUUGAUUCCAUCAGUUCCUGCUGCCUUUCCAUUUUUUAAUCUUUUUAUUGCCUGAUUUACUUCUUCAUGUGUUAUACUUCUUUCUUUAUAUACUCCUCCUCUACCUCCGCUCAAAACUGUUGCUGUAACAGCUGCUGGACGUCCAUCAUCAAAAUUCAUUAAGUUUUUUUAAAUAUUCUCUCCAUCUCUCUUUCACAGCUUCCCCGUCUUUCAACAUCUUUCCAUUCUCAUCCAUAACUUCAUUAAUUUUCCUUGGGGAGAUAUUAUUGGGGUGAUGCUUUUCUUUCGUUUUUUACUUCUUUCCAAUAUGAUUUCCUGUUCCCUUUAUAUUUUUCACUUAGUCUUUUCCAAAGUCUUCACCAACUCUCUUCUUACUUUCUUUUAUUGCUUGUUUUAAUUUCAUUUUGCAUUCUCUAUAUUUCUUUUUCCUUUCCCUUUUUACUUGCUCAACCACAUUUCUUUCUUAAGUUUUCUUUAAAAAGUUCCCUUUUCUCUUUUACUAUCCUCCUUAUCUCUUCUGUCCACCAUGAAUUUCCUUUUCUUUUUCCAUCUCUCACCACUUUCAUGCCUAACACUUUUUUGUUGUAGUUAACACUACUUCUUUAAAUGUUCUAAAAACUUUUUCAGUAUCUGUACUAUCUUUCACACUUUCCCAUUUUUCACUUAAGGCAUCUACCAUUUCACGUUAUACUCAUCUUUUAUUUCUUUUUUCCUGUAACUUUUCUAUCUUCAGUAUUUCCUUUUUUACUUCACCUUUCUUUUCAAACACCCACUUUUGCAAGAUGGUCAGAGCCAUCAAACAUCCCGCUUACUACCUUCGCGUCACAGAUGUCCUUUCUCAGUCUUCCAUCUACUGCCACAUAAUCAAUCAAUCCUUUCUGCUCAUAAUCAUUCCCCCUCCUCCAUGUGUAUAUGUGGAUAUAGGCAAAAGUAAUAAAGCCCCACACAUCAGAAGUUGUAUUGCUUUGCCUAGGUUAUGCAGAUGAUGUAGUAUUAGUGGAAGGAUUUUGCCUGAUCCUAAAUGACUUUGGUAUGGAAUGGAAACUUAUCUUUAAACAUAAUAAUGGAAAUUCACACCAGCAGUAGGACAGCGGGUGCUGGGAAACAAUAUCUUAGAGGUAAUAGAAACACAUGGUUAUUUAGCAUUUGAGAUAAGCAAGGAGGCCAUAGGAGAAAGCACAAAGAAAACUGAAUGAAGCCAAGGUAAGGAAAAUGACGGGUGUUAACAUCAGUGGUAGAGAAGGGAAAUUAGCCAGUAUGAAUAUGGAAGUUGCCUUUGGAUGGGGAAGGUAGUAACCCCACAGCUAUCUUGUAUGGGUCAGCAGGACUAACACUGAAGAUGUCGGGAGAUUAGAAGUCAUUCAAGACCAGUU